RNAcentral lists this ribosomal RNA (301 nucleotides) under uncultured bacterium. RNAcentral's name for it is "partial 16S ribosomal RNA". It matches the Rfam family "Bacterial small subunit ribosomal RNA", at positions 509 to 809 of the family's 1533-position model. The record is from RNAcentral.
CAGUCGCCGCGGUAAUACGUAGGUGGCAAGCGUUGUCCGGAAUUAUUGGGCGUAAAGGGCUCGCAGGCGGUUUCUUAAGUCUGAUGUGAAAGCCCCCGGCUCAACCGGGGAGGGUCAUUGGAAACUGGGAAACUUGAGUGCAGAAGAGGAGAGUGGAAUUCCACGUGUAGCGGUGAAAUGCGUAGAGAUGUGGAGGAACACCAGUGGCGAAGGCGACUCUCUGGUCUGUAACUGACGCUGAGGAGCGAAAGCGCGGGGAGCGAACAGGAUUAGAUACCCGUGUAGUCCCUGUCUCUUAUAU